Molecule: transfer RNA, 96 nt
Filed under: Mycolicibacterium arabiense
Lineage: Bacteria; Bacillati; Actinomycetota; Actinomycetes; Mycobacteriales; Mycobacteriaceae
Description: tRNA-Pro
Source: RNAcentral
CCGGAGUCGGUCGCGCAGCGCCGCGGCGCUGCCGUCGGGAUCGACGGGCAGCAGGGCGAGUUCGGCGGAGUCGACGUUCGAACCGUCGACGCCGGC